UGGGGAAUAUUGGACAAUGGAGGAAACUCUGAUCCAGCAAUUCUGUGUGUGUGAAGAAGGUUUUAGGACUGUAAAACACUUUUAGUAGGGAAGAAAAAAAUGACGGUACCUACAGAAGAAGCAACGGCUAAAUACGUGCCAGCAGCCGCGGUAAUACGUAUGUUGCGAGCGUUAUCCGGAAUUAUUGGGCUUAAAGGGCAUCUAGGCGGUAAGACAAGUUGAAGGUGAAAACCUGUGGCUCAACCAUAGGCUUGCCUACAAAACUGUUGAACUAGAGUACUGGAAAGGUGGGUGGAACUACACGAGUAGAGGUGAAAUUCGUAGAUAUGUGUAGGAAUGCCGAUGAUGAAGAUAACUCACUGGACAGAAACUGACGCUGAAGUGCGAAAGCUAGGGGAGCAAACAGC
RNAcentral lists this ribosomal RNA (407 nucleotides) under Verrucomicrobiota bacterium. RNAcentral describes it as "Verrucomicrobia bacterium partial 16S ribosomal RNA". It matches the Rfam family "Bacterial small subunit ribosomal RNA", at positions 355 to 776 of the family's 1533-position model. Lineage: Bacteria; Pseudomonadati; Verrucomicrobiota. The record is from RNAcentral.